RNAcentral lists this unclassified non-coding RNA (365 nucleotides) under soil metagenome. RNAcentral describes it as "partial contains 5.8S ribosomal RNA, internal transcribed spacer 2, and large subunit ribosomal RNA". The stretch from base 1 to 120 matches the Rfam family "5.8S ribosomal RNA", at positions 35 to 154 of the family's 154-position model. The record is from RNAcentral.
GAUGAAGAACGUAGCGAAAUGCGAUAAGUAAUGUGAAUUGCAGAAUUCAGUGAAUCAUCGAAUCUUUGAACGCACAUUGCGCCCGCCAGCAUUCUGGCGGGCAUGCCUGUUCGAGCGUCAUUUCAACCCUCGCAGCCCAUCUGGGCAGCGGUGUUGGGGACCGGCACCACCGGCGAAGCCCUUAGGGGCCCAGCCGGCGCCGCCCCCGAAAUACAGUGGCGGUCUCGCUGCAGCCUCCCUUGCGUAGUAGCACACCUCGCACCGGAGCGCAGCGCGGCCACGCCGUAAAACCCCCGACUUUCUGAGUUUGACCUCGAAUCAGGUAGGAAUACCCGCUGUACUUAAGCAUAUCAAUAAGCGGAGGA